CGACGCCAUUUUUGGUGCACAGUCACAAAUCCACUCUAAAGUCUGUUUUGAAUUCUCUGGCACGUUACUGCCUCAUUUUAUCAUCAUGUUUGCGAAUGUGGCCAGUGUUUAUCACCAAGACUUGAUCCAGCAGAAGAAACGUCACAACAGCCCUCGGGUAGCGUCACUGAGGGCCGGGCUACCUACCUGAGAGUACAGAUAUCGGCGCUGUUACUUUGAGGCAACAUCUACCUCGUCACAAUGGACAGCGUCAUUUAAUUACAGGUGUGACACGCAAGGUGAUGGCUGCUCCUCUACCUAACAUUUAGUUGAUAUAUCAAGCUGAUGUAUUGUGUACAUACAGAGUGAUCCCAUAGUUAUUGUAUGCUUUGUGGGACAUUCGUAUAUUCCAUUUCAGUUUUAUAACUAAGUUUUCUCACCAUAGCUUAGUAUUUGCAGGAUUGAACAAGUCAAAAUAAAAAAAUACAGUUGAAUAUCAAGUCUGAUUUUGGUGAGACCGAGGGAGCGGCCGAGUAGCCUAGUGGUUAAAGCGUUCGCUCUACACGCCAAAGGCCCGGGUUCGAUUCACAUGGGCACAAUGUGUGAAGCCCAUUUCUGAUGUCCCCCCGCCGUGAUAUUGCUGGAAUAUUGCUAAAAGCGGCGUGAAACCUCACUCAUCCACUCCGUGGGACCGAAAGUUUAGUCCCUUUUGGUACGUGGUUAGCAUCCCCUGAUAUAAUCUUUUAAACAUGCAACACCAAAAGCGAUACUUAUUUCAAAUUAUACAAGUAUCAGUCCUCUGUACAUGAAAUGUUCACAAAUUUAUUGAAAGAAGUAUCAUUACAAAAUGUCAUUAAAAAUCAAUCCAUUCCUUUUUAACUUGUGGGUUUUUUCAAAGUUAAAGCAAUACCCCAUUAUAUACAGCAGCUUUUUGAAGUGUGGAAAGUUCAUCUUGAUCAGAUUACAUGACACACUGUUCCUUUGUCAACACAGCCUCAGCCUGGUGUCCAGAAUUAAGAAAGUCCGGAUUAGACAGGUUUUACUUUAUUAUGUAAUUAAUUAAUCAAUUAAUUAAUAUAAAUUCAGGCCGUAAAUGUGGUCUGGCUUUUAUUGAGUGAGUGAGUGAGUGAGUGAGUGAGUAUGGUUUUACGCCGCUUUUAGCAAUAUUCCAGCAAUAUCAGAAAUGGGCUUCACACCUUGUACCCAUGCAUGUCGGCAAUCAAACCCGGUCUUCGGCGUGAUGAGCGAAUGCUUUAACCACUAGGCUACCUGACUGCCCUGGUCCGGCUUUGACAGAGAUCUGUAUCAGUGAAAGUCAGGUUUGACACAUUCAGAAAUAUGUGAAUUUUUUUAUCAAUGUUUCAUGUUGAUUCAGGUAAUAGGUAAAAAGGAAAAUUGAAUAUUGCUGUUGCCCAUGUAUAAAAUCAAAUAAAAAUUUCAAGACACCAUUGCUUGGAUCAACCAUGGCUAGUUUAAGCCCUGUAGGCCAUAUGGUUUCAGAGUAGUAGUUGAAAAUGUAAAAAACAAUAACGUUGGUUGAGGUGAAAUGGCGUUU
Haliotis rufescens (red abalone) is the source of this 1534-nucleotide long non-coding RNA. RefSeq lists it as uncharacterized. The record is from RefSeq and is a predicted model, not a curated record. The transcript has 3 exons. Lineage: Eukaryota; Metazoa; Mollusca; Gastropoda; Lepetellida; Haliotidae.